This 310-nucleotide ribosomal RNA is filed under the name uncultured bacterium. RNAcentral describes it as "bacterial SSU rRNA". It matches the Rfam family "Bacterial small subunit ribosomal RNA", at positions 29 to 334 of the family's 1533-position model. The record is from RNAcentral.
AACGAACGCUGGCGGCGUGCUUAACACAUGCAAGUCGAACGCGAACGGUUUCUUCGGGAACCUAGUAGAGUGGCGCACGGGUGAGUAACGCGUAAGUAAUCUAUCCUGGCAUCUGGAAUAACCCACCGAAAGGUGAGCUAAUACCGGAUACGUUGAUUUAUCAAGAAAGGUGGCCUCUAUUUAUAAGCUACUGUGCGAGGAGGAGCUUGCGUACCAUUAGCUAGUUGGUAGGGUAAUGGCCUACCAAGGCAACGAUGGUUAGCGGGUCUGAGAGGAUGAUCCGCCACACUGGAACUGGAACACGGACCAG